RNAcentral lists this ribosomal RNA (425 nucleotides) under uncultured bacterium. Its description in RNAcentral is "bacterial SSU rRNA". It matches the Rfam family "Bacterial small subunit ribosomal RNA", at positions 356 to 773 of the family's 1533-position model. The record is from RNAcentral.
GGGGAAUAUUGCGCAAUGGGGGAAACCCUGACGCAGCGACGCCGCGUGAGCGAAGAAGGCCUUCGGGUUGUAAAGCUCUGUUGUAAGGGACGAAAGAAUAAGGGAGUAACUGCCCUUAAAGUGACGGUACCUUACCAGCAAGCCCCGGCUAACUACGUGCCAGCAGCCGCGGUAAGACGUAGGGGGCGAGCGUUGUCCGGAAUUACUGGGCGUAAAGGGCACGUAGGCGGGUGUUUAAGUCAGGUGUGAAAGACCGCAGCUCAACUGCGGGGUUGCACUUGAAACUGAACAUCUUGAGGGCAGGAGAGGUUAGUGGAAUUCCUGGUGUAGCGGUGAAAUGCGUAGGAAUCAGGAGGAACACCAGUGGCGAAGGCGACUGACUGGACUGACCCUGACGCUGAGGUGCGAAAGCGUGGGUAGCAAAC